RNAcentral lists this non-coding RNA (24 nucleotides) under Rattus norvegicus (Norway rat). Lineage: Eukaryota; Metazoa; Chordata; Mammalia; Rodentia; Muridae. The record is from RNAcentral.
UGGCAUGGGGAAUGCAGACCGCUC